UGGGGAAUAUUGCACAAUGGGCGCAAGCCUGAUGCAGCAACGCCGCGUGAGGGACGACGGCCUUCGGGUUGUAAACCUCUUUUGGCAGGGAAGAAGCGAAAGUGACGGUACCUGCAGAAAAAGCACCGGCUAACUACGUGCCAGCAGCCGCGGUGAUACGUAGGGUGCAAGCGUUGUCCGGAAUUAUUGGGCGUAAAGAGCUCGUAGGCGGUUUGUCGCGUCUGCUGUGAAAACCCGAGGCUCAACCUCGGGCCUGCAGUGGGUACGGGCAAACUAGAGUGCGGUAGGGGAGAUUGGAAUUCCUGGUGUAGCGGUGGAAUGUGCAGAUAUCAGGAGGAACACCGAUGGCGAAGGCAGAUCUCUGGGCCGUAACUGACGCUGAGGAGCGAAAGCAUGGGGAGCGAACA
This 407-nucleotide ribosomal RNA is filed under the name uncultured bacterium. RNAcentral's name for it is "bacterial SSU rRNA". It matches the Rfam family "Bacterial small subunit ribosomal RNA", at positions 355 to 774 of the family's 1533-position model. The record is from RNAcentral.